UGGGGGUUCACUGUAAUUGUGGGGUGGGGAUGAAGGUCAUGAAUGUAGAGGAGACCCAGGUGUCUUCUGGAUGUUGGGGUCCCCGGGGAGGUGACCAGGGAUGGGGUACAGAGUUGUCCCAGGGGUCAAGGCAAGUGUCCGAGUCAUUUUUAUCAUCAGUUCCACAAUUAUUUAUUGAAAAUCUACCUGUGCCCAGAGCUCACCUGACCUCAUUGAGCCUUGAGCCUCGGUCCUGGAAAAGGAAGCUAACCCUUCAAAGUGUUUCUCAACAAGGCGCACACACUGUCGGCGUUGUGCGUGGGACGACCUGUUUGAUUCCUUUGCCUGGCAGGAUAUGUCCCCACCCUCCCAUGCUGGCGGUGUCCUCCAGUCAUGGUGAGACCCCAAACGGCCCCCAACACCCACCUUCAGUUGCAAAUAGCCGAUUCAGGGAGAUGCCGGAGGAGCAGGUGAGAAAACUGUGUGAAACCAGCGGUAGGUUGUACACCUUCCUUCAUGUCUCCCUUCCCCACACCUCUCCCUCCUUCCUCCAGCCCCACAAAUGCCAUCUCAAGCAUGGGACUUGGCUGCUGUCUGGUCCAGGCUGUCAGCUCUCCUCUCUUGCCCUCCCCUCCCUCCCCUGCCCUUCCCCACCAGGCCUCCAUCUGGAUGCAGCCACUGGCCUUGACGUUCUGCUGCUCUACCCAGCUGCCCCAGCACUGAGGCCGGAACCUGGGUCUCGUCUGGCUGCUGCAGCCUUGGCAGGAGGGAAGGAAAGAUAUUUCGCCCACCAUGCUCUUUGUGGCUUAAGCUCCCGAGCGGCUGCAUGCUGAGGACUCAGCUUUGCACCCCUGCACAGGCCAGGUGCGUGUCCACCACCCAGUAGUGUGGUUCAGAGCGAACGGAAGCUAUCAGCUGCUCAGAGAUGUCUGUACCGGGCGCCAAACGGAUUCAGACAGCAACCUGGAGCUCCCGCAGAGGAUGCUCCAGUUAGGCACGGGUCCCAGAAUGUGAGCCACACGGAGCAGAUGUGAAGGUAGCCUGUCAUCAGGAGUGAGGCCAGCCCUGCCGACUGCAGACCUGUGAACUACUUGGCCCUGAAUCCUCCUCUCAAGUCUCAAGGUUUGCUUCUGGGGGACCCAACCUAAGAAACCCACCUAUUGCCAGCCAACCACAAGCAAAGGCAAUAACUUGUCAAUUAUCUUUCAAACUCCAAGAAUCUGGAUGUAUGAGCCCUGGGGACACAGUGCUUGGAGCUUGGAGCCGUGAAUGAAGUGGCUGGGUCAGCAACCACUCUGCAGGGACCUUGGAGCCUCCUACCAGCACGGCCGCACUGCUUCCUCUCCGUGUAGACAUCGUUCAGCGGAGGGACCUCAUCCCACCGUGUCUUCCUUGACGAUUCACAGGGGAGCAGAAAUCUUGGUGGGAAAUAAAGAGCAGAGGUUCUACCACACCUGCCAUCAUCUCUGAUGCAGAGAUUUGACCUCCUCCAGACACUGGGGAAGCAGAGGCCUUCUUAAGCCAAGCAGCUUGCAAGCGAUGUGAAAUCUGAUAGCUACUUAGAAGAAAGAAAUUCCACACGGUGGAUGGGCAUAGCCCUGCACCAGGCCCAGGGAACCUGGAAGAACAACCGUGUCUCCACCAGCUCCCGGGGAGAAUGGGGCCAUCCAGUGGUAUUUUGGGAAAUGCUUUACAACUGGCUCUCUGGGGGGAAGAAAAAUAAACAAAAGCCUUACUCUGUAACAUUUGCCAAUUUUUGUGGUGUAAAUACUCCCAACGUGGCCAGUUUGAAGCUACCAACUUGUCCACUGGUUUGAAAAAUUCCUGAAACUUUUGCAGUGAACUCUUACAAGCUGGUAUGAGCUAGCUCUAGCACGUCCUUCAUUUCCUUUAUUUCGUUGUAUUUUUAAAAUUGGAUUUUUAUUUUAUUUAUUGGAAAGAAUUCUUACGAAAUUUUAUUUAAAUUUCAAACUUACAGAAAAAUGCCAAAAAUAGUAAAAUAGACCACUGUAUAUGCCCUUUACCUCCAUUCACCAAAUAUCAAUAUUUUGCCAGUGUUGCUUUAUUUCUCUUUCCAAACAUAUACAUUUGUUACUGUUUUUUUAUUGUUGACUGUUGUUGAUCGGUUGGAAUGUAAGUUGCAGGCACAGGACUCUUGUUCCUCUGCCACUUCCCCUGCUUGUGUUCCCUCUCUCGC
Molecule: long non-coding RNA, 2176 nt
Organism: Zalophus californianus (California sea lion)
Lineage: Eukaryota; Metazoa; Chordata; Mammalia; Carnivora; Otariidae
Exons: 4
Source: RefSeq, a predicted model, not a curated record